CUGGCACAUUUACAAUCAAGGCAGAAAGAAGAUGGCCUUCAGAGUUUCAGGCUCCCUCUGCUCGAGUGUCUGAGGACUGCCUUUAGGCUGUUUCGCAUGUGUGAUGGGUUUGGUGUGAAUGGAAGAGAAACUUCUGGGACUAGCUGCUGUGGCCGAGUGGGUUUACUGACCGCCUGUCUCCUCGUCCUCGUGCGCUGUAGACGUACAUGGCCCAGUGGCUAUUCAAAGGAAGUGACCUCCGCAGUGUGCCUUUCAAGCCACACAGGAUGGAUCCUUGUGCGACAUUCAGCCGUCGCUCUGGUUUACACCAAAUUCAACAACUUGUGGCCUGCAGAUACUCAGUAGAAAUAGCUGGAAAAGCCUGACCUUGACAACCUCAUUUCUCAUUCCUUUCUUGUUACAGGUCACACAGAACACCACGAACCCACCCCCAUGGUUCUGGAAUGAUUGGAAUUCACAGCAUUGCCUACCUCAAAAAUAAUGAAAGGUUCUGCAGAGACCCACUGACGCAGAGGAGCCCGCAGAUUCCAGUCUGUCUGCAGACGGGCUGGGCACUGGGCACUGAGCUGGCUCAGGUGGGUCUGUGAGAGCCGCAGGGCCUGGCGUGCGCAUCUCUGCCCAACACCGCAUUCAGCAACAUCAGGUCGGAAGCUGGUGACGUGGAGAGUAUUUACGCUAUGGAAAUUGGCAAAUGGCAAAAAUCAAGCCCUUCCCCCUGGAGAACCAGUUGUUGAACAUUUACCUGCACACCACUAGAGAACUUGUCCAAAAGCCUUUAAAAAAACCCAAGAACUGACUUUACGUAGAUUCUUUUGUUUAUUUGGGAGUAGCUGAAGUAGAGGGAGGGCUCAUGGGGAUUGUCUCAGUGUGUAGGGUAGCUUUGGGUGGGUGGUGCGUCUGCAUACACGCGCAUGCACACACACACACAAUUCACACGUUUACCAAAACAUCACAUUGUAUACUAAAUCUGAUAACCUGCUUUUUUGUCUCCUUAUUGGUAUAUUGUUGUUUCUU
This 1014-nucleotide long non-coding RNA is filed under the name Equus asinus (donkey). Its description in RNAcentral is "lncRNA (ENSEASG00005033839.1)". The record is from RNAcentral. Lineage: Eukaryota; Metazoa; Chordata; Mammalia; Perissodactyla; Equidae.